This is an RNA transcript of Stegostoma tigrinum, 3362 nucleotides long. It is a transcript of the gene named neuropeptides capa receptor-like, with no coding region annotated. NCBI's taxonomy places the organism in Eukaryota, Metazoa, Chordata, Chondrichthyes, Orectolobiformes, Stegostomatidae. The record is from RefSeq and is a predicted model, not a curated record. The transcript is spliced from 3 exons.
AAUGGCGGCGGUCAGUGGGGUCUGUCACCGUCUGAAGUGUUUAUUCGUUUUCUGCAAACAGGCCUAGGGAGUUUCAUUUUGUGUUUUUCGACGCAUAGCAAGUGUUUGAAAAACUUCCAAUCUCAUAAGAAGAUAAUUUUUCUGCCGUUUAACUUUCUGUGCCGUGUCCUACUCUGGCCUCAAAUGCGCAAACCUUGGUCUCAGCGAGUGGGCACUGCCCGCGUGGAUGAUCACGUGGUUUACACUGGUUCUGUCCCUUGUUUACUCCGAGAUAACAAACUGUGAGGCUGGAUGAACACAGCAGGCCAAGCAGCAUCUUCGGAGCACAAGAGCUGACGUUUCGGGCUUAGACCCCUCAUAGGAGCAGCUGCCUCCGCCCAGUUCGCUAGCACCGCCCCUGUGCUCCGAUUGGUCCAACGCUGAUAUCAAUCACCCAGGUCACCGAACGUCAAUUGGAGCAUGCGGAGUGCUUCUUGUUGUCAUCAGAAGCUUGCGUUUUCAGUCCAGGAGAAACGAAACUUAGAACUACAUUGAGAGGAUGUACACUAGAGACCCUGGGAUUUUAAUAAGCUUGAAAGAGCUGCCUGCAGCUAAAAGCUAAAGAUAGCUCUUGACGUUGCUCUGUCAGCGAAGAGAGCAAUGUUGGUGAAAUAAACGGAAUCAAUAUCGACAUAGCAGUCCUCAGUAUCAGUGGCUGUGCAACACAAUUGGGAUGUUCCAAUUAUGGAUCAGAAUGUGAGAACAAUGGAUGGGAAUGUUACAAGAACGUACCAGAAUCUGAGAGGAAUAGAUUGGAAUGUUCCAACAAUGGACAGGAGUUUAUCCAAUGGCCUUCACUUGUUUUCGAUCGAUCAGGUACCAUUAACAUGGCGGAUCGAAGCUGUAGUGAUGAUUAUUCAAGCGGGUUACUAUCCCAUCCUCGCUUUUGUUGGUGUUCCCGAGCCAACAUGACAUCAGAAGGCUGAAUUGUCUCUCUCUCUGCUCGACCGCAAUGACUGUAGGAUCCAACGAGAACAAGAUCAGCUGCUCCAGUCUCUCCAACCAACUGAAGUCCUGAAUCCCUGAUGACAUUCCUAUAAUUCCAGUCUCAAACUUCUCUCUGAACGUAAUGCCUUUCUGCAAAGGCACAGCCCAUGUUUGGGCACCUUUCUGCAGAGAUAGAAUUGAAAAGGAGGAAAAUGAUGUUGCACUUAGUUGAAACCAAAGUUUGACUCCACUGGGAGCACUGUCAACAUUUGUCACUGCCAUUUGGUCAAAGGAAACAGAGGCACUGGAAGUGUGUCACGCUGAUUCAAAAAGACACUGUCAAAACAGAAAACAUGUAACCCUCAGGCAAGUCUGGGGAGCUUUUCUCCAGAAAAGAGAAGACUAAAGGAUGAUCUAAUGGAAGCCUUUAAAGUGAUGAAGGGUUUAAAAAUCUAUUAGUGGUUGUAUGAGAAACCUCUUUACCCUGCGACAGGUCAAAAUGUGCAACUCACUCCAAUAGCACGAGAUGGAGGUGAACAGAUGAAUAUAUUUGAGAAGUUGGAUGCAUACGUGAGGGAGAAAGGAAUAGACAGAUCUGUCGAUGGGCGACACAGAAGGGAAAGAUGUGGAGCAUAAAUACUGAUGGAGACUAAUUGAGUUGAUUGGGCGAGAGACUCAAUGGAUCAAAGACAAACAUAUUUACUUCUGAUCGAAUUGGAGUAGUGAGGAAAGCAUUGUUUCAUAUCCAGGACAAAUUAAAUUUACUUCAUCAUUUCUUUGGGAAUGCACAGUCCCAGACUCAAAGUACAUCAGCCUCACUGGAAGCAAAGUGGUGCGAGCGGCCAGUCCAGCAGAAAGAAACCAUCUGUCCCUCCCACUUACUCACUGUCAGAAUGAACAUGGCUCAGUCUUGGAUGUGAUUUUCCCUCAUUUUCAAUUCAAUUCAUGGGAUUUAGUAUCACUGUCGAGGUCAGCACUUAUUGCCCAUCCCAGUUGUCCUCCUUGAGAAGAUAGUGGUUUCUGGGACUGCAGUCUUUGAGGUGUAGGGUCACCCACAGUGCUGUUUGGGAGAAGUUCCUGGAUUUUGAAUCAUUGAGAGCAAAGGAACAGACAAUAUGGAAGAAUAUGAUAUUCAAGUCCCAGGUAUUUCAGUGACUCCAUUACAUCUUCAUGUGGUGGCCACUUUGAGAUUUCUGUUUUGCAAAUCUUCCCCUUCUAGCAUCCUGUUAAUGAGAAUCGUGUGCAGUAUUGAGAAGAGCAUGCUGGAGCAUGUAUGUCCCAUGUAACUGCUUCACUUGUUCUUCUAGGCAAUCGAUACUUUCUGUUUGAAAUGAGCUGUCUAGCAGCAUAUAUGAUGCAGAUUAACAGCAGAUCCAACUCCUGGGAUUAUUUGUGUAAUUUCUUGUACUUCUACAGACUGGAUGACUGCAUGAAUCCUUUCCCUCACUUAGAACAUAUGAAUGGCUUCUCCCCAGUAUGCACUUGCUGGCGUACCUGUAGGCCAGAUGGAUCUCUGAACUGAUUCCCACACGUGGAGCAUUUGAAGGAUCUCUUCCCUGUGUGGAUGCAGAUGGUGGAAUUUGAAUUCAAUAAAUAUCUGGAAUUAAGAAUCUAAUAAUGACUGUGAAUCAAUUGUCAAUUGUUGGAAAAACUCAUCUGGUUCACAAAUGUCUUUCAGGGAAAGAAAUUGCCAUCCUUACCUGGUUUGCAAUACAUGUGACUCCAGACCUGCAGCAAUGUCGUUGACUUUGAACUGCCCUCUGGGCAAUUAGAGAUGGGCAAUAAAUGCUGCCUAGCCAGCGAUGCCCUCAUCAUAUGAAUGGAUAAAAACAAAUUCAGAGCAGGUGCACAGCCUCUCUCCAGUGGCAGCACAUUGGCGUUUCCACAGGGCAGAUGAACCAAGGAAUCCCUUCCCACAAUCAGAGCAGGUGAAUGGUCUCUGCCUCAUGUGACUGCAUUGAUGAAACUCCAGCACUGACAGGCAAUGGAAUCCUUUCUCACAUUUCCAUGGUUCUCCAUUUUACAGGAGAUCUUGUGUCUUUGUAAGUUCCUGCUGUGAAUGGUAUGAUGUUUCUUUCAGACUAAGUAAAGGUAUAUCAGUUCACUGGAAGUCUGUCGCUUGGGUGUAUGUGUUUCAGUACAUUUCCAGACAAACUGUUGUUUCAAAUCUUUCGAAACAGAUAGACACUUCUUGAUCUAUGGUUUCAAGCCAAUGAUAUUCAAGUGUGGAUGAUUUCAGAGACUCCAUUGGAUCUUCACGUGAUGGUUGUUUUGAGACUUUUGUCUGAAAAUCUUCCGUUUCUACCAUCCUGCAAAAAGAUGAUGAUGAUGAUAAUAAUAAUAAUAAUUACUAUUAAUAUUAUUAUUAUUGCUGUUGAUGUUAGUAUUAUUGUUAU